AGGUCGUGGGUCUGUUAAAAAGAAGCUACGUGAUGCAUUUGAGAGACAGCUCGUCCAUCAGUCUUGAUGAAGAGCUGUACCCUGACAUCAAUGGCAUAACAGUGCUGUUUACUGGACCUUACUGUUUCGUUGCCUGGUCCAGGACGUACACUGCUUACACCGCUGUGAGGCUGCUGUUGGUGUGGACCCUCCCCGAAUGGCUCUCAGAGGUGGGGGUAUCAUUGUGUUACACAAUCAACAGGUCAACUUGCAUAUGGUGGCUGCCCCCAAAUUUGACUCAUUUGAGUGCCUUGUUUUGAGUGUUUCUGCCCCUUGUUUUUAAUGCAGUGGCUACAGUCUACAGGCCUCCUAAGUCAAAUAAAGACUUUUUAUCUGA
Long non-coding RNA from Silurus meridionalis, 376 nucleotides. RefSeq lists it as uncharacterized. The transcript has 3 exons. The record is from RefSeq and is a predicted model, not a curated record. Lineage: Eukaryota; Metazoa; Chordata; Actinopteri; Siluriformes; Siluridae.